UUUCUUUACUUUGUACAUGAAAGUAAAAAUAAAUAUCUUUCAUUUUAUUAAUUGGAAAAUCUCAGGGAUAAUAAAGAAAAUAACAAAAUCGGAAACACGUAAAAGGAUGAACUCGCCUAAGACUAACAGAACAAGAUCAAGUACGUGCUAGAAAUUUUUUCCCUUUCCCAACGAGUGGAUACUUGCUCGUUAAGCACAUGGCUAAAAGUAAACGAUGAAGUUUGGAAGCACGGGCGAAGGAUGUAAGUUAUUGCUCCAACGAACUAAAGGUAAAUAUCUGAACCAGAAUUUUCUAGAAAAGUGUGAAAAACAAACAGAACAGGCCAUUAUUUUUCUAACUCCAUUGCAUUGGCUAGAUAUGGUGUUUCAUGUUAAAAUGAAAUACAUUCUAGUGCUGUUUCACCUGCUCCAUAAAAUAAAACGAAGGUAAAUAAAGCUACUUCUCUUGCUUUCACUUACAUCUACCACAGAUAACUAUUACUCACAAAGAGUUUACAAGUUAUUUUGCCAGGCUACGUGGCUGACUGCAUUUAAACGAUACAAGGAUGUACAUCAAGCUCGCUGGCUUUUUUCUUUGCUUAGGAGUUUUCCUCUGCAUUGCUGUGGCACUUCCACAGUAUGACAUGGGAGAUAAUACAAUGGGACAAGGAAUGGGAGGACUUCCACAGUUCAAUAUUGGAGGUCAAUUCAGCUUUGGAUUUGGAGGAUAGAUCUGCAAUAUCAUCUCACGUAUCCAAACGCUGAAGAUAAGCUGCAGCUGGGUAUGCAUCACUGAUAUGAGCUUCACGACUCCUUUAAAUUAGUUUGAAAAAUUUGCUCUAUCAGUUGAAGGAUUUCUCUGGUUUAUAAUUUCUAUGAUUAAAAAUAUUGGCUGCAAAGAUAUUUACUUGUUGUUUCACCUUAAUAUCCUUUAUCUCAUAAAUAUCAAAACGGGUCGGAGACAUUGAGUUAAUCUUGCUGCUGUGUAUCUUUGCCUUUUCCGUGAUUGAAGCAGCACCACAAUAUAUGCCGGUGGGUUACCCCAUGGCUAUGAAUCCCUAUGGAAUGGGAAUGGGCUACGCUCCUGUGGUUCCGGUUCCAUACUAAAUGGAAAGAAUGAAAAAUACCCUCUCUAUGAAGCAUGCUUGAUAUGGAAUUUGCUUAUGCUGGUUAAGGAUUUUCAUGGUUUUUAAUAUGUAUCAUUCUCAUUUGUUAUGCUUAAUAAAGCAUUAAUUUCAAAAGCA
Molecule: long non-coding RNA, 1223 nt
Filed under: Stegodyphus dumicola
Lineage: Eukaryota; Metazoa; Arthropoda; Arachnida; Araneae; Eresidae
Description: uncharacterized LOC118201955, transcript variant X2
Source: RNAcentral